CUCCUCCCGGGUGCCAUAAGCAUCUCUUCGAAACCAUCAUCAUCGUGGAACCAGAAACAAGGGAUGUCUCAUUUUCCAGCAGUUUUAUCUCUUGUAUUUUUUCAUGUUUUUUUCUGUUUUAUUUUGUGCUUUGAGAUGACAGCGAUUUCCGACUGUUUUGUACUUUGAAAUGACAUGUUAUAUGAAUGUAUGUAAACAAUUUACAUGUUAAUCAUUGCAUGAAGACAACG
Molecule: long non-coding RNA, 230 nt
Filed under: Brassica napus (rape)
Lineage: Eukaryota; Viridiplantae; Streptophyta; Magnoliopsida; Brassicales; Brassicaceae
Description: long non-coding RNA (BNAP_LNC015269)
Source: RNAcentral